AGCACAAAACUUUGAGUGUUCUUUCCCUG
RNAcentral lists this non-coding RNA (29 nucleotides) under Mus musculus (house mouse). Lineage: Eukaryota; Metazoa; Chordata; Mammalia; Rodentia; Muridae. The record is from RNAcentral.